Molecule: ribosomal RNA, 279 nt
Filed under: uncultured bacterium
Lineage: Bacteria
Description: partial 16S ribosomal RNA
Rfam family: Bacterial small subunit ribosomal RNA
Source: RNAcentral
UGCCAGCCGCCGCGGUAAUACGGAGGGUGCAAGCGUUGUUCGGAAUCACUGGGCGUAAAGCGCGUGUAGGCGGCUUGGAAAGUCGGAUGUGAAAGCCCGAGGCUCAACCUCGGAACUGCAUUCGAAACUUCCAGGCUAGAGUCCUGGAGAGGAUGGUGGAAUUCCCAGUGUAGAGGUGAAAUUCGUAGAUAUUGGGAGGAACACCAGUGGCGAAGGCGGCCAUCUGGACAGUGACUGACGCUGAGACGCGAAAGCGUGGGGAGCAAACAGGAUUAGAUA